Oncorhynchus tshawytscha (Chinook salmon) is the source of this 461-nucleotide long non-coding RNA. The record is from Ensembl. Lineage: Eukaryota; Metazoa; Chordata; Actinopteri; Salmoniformes; Salmonidae.
GCAGGGUAGUGUGGAGGGUAGUAUGUAGUGUGUAGUGUAGUAUGUAGUGUGCAGUGUAGUAUGUAGUGUAGUAUGUAGUGUGUAGUGUAGUAUGUAGUGUGUAGUGUAGUAUGUAGUGUGGAGGGUAGUAUGUAGUGUGCAGGGUAGUGUGUGUUGUGCAGGGUAGUGUGUAGUGUACUAUGUAGUGUGCAGGGAAGUGUGUAGUGUGCAGGGAAGUGUGUAGUGUAGUGUGUGUUGUGUAGUGUACUAUGUAGUGUGCAGGAUAGUGUGUAGUGUAAUAUGUAGUGUGCAGAUUAGUGUGUAGUGUGCAGGGUAGUGUGUAGUGUAGUAUGUAGUGUGCAGAUUAGUGUGUAGUGUGCAGAGUAGUGUGUAGUGUAGUAUGUAGUGUUCAGGGAAGUGUGUACUGUGUAGGGUAGUGUGUGUUGUGCAGGGUAGUGUGUAGUGUGUAGGGUAGUAUGUAG